Molecule: ribosomal RNA, 362 nt
Filed under: Pluralibacter gergoviae
Lineage: Bacteria; Pseudomonadati; Pseudomonadota; Gammaproteobacteria; Enterobacterales; Enterobacteriaceae
Description: partial 23S ribosomal RNA
Rfam family: Bacterial large subunit ribosomal RNA
Source: RNAcentral
GCAAUGGCAUAAGCCAGCUUGACUGCGAGCGUGACGGCGCGAGCAGGUGCGAAAGCAGGUCAUAGUGAUCCGGUGGUUCUGAAUGGAAGGGCCAUCGCUCAACGGAUAAAAGGUACUCCGGGGAUAACAGGCUGAUACCGCCCAAGAGUUCAUAUCGACGGCGGUGUUUGGCACCUCGAUGUCGGCUCAUCACAUCCUGGGGCUGAAGUAGGUCCCAAGGGUAUGGCUGUUCGCCAUUUAAAGUGGUACGCGAGCUGGGUUUAGAACGUCGUGAGACAGUUCGGUCCCUAUCUGCCGUGGGCGCUGGAGAAUUGAGGGGGGCUGCUCCUAGUACGAGAGGACCGGAGUGGACGCAUCACUGG